ACGUGAGCCGCGCUCCUCCCAGUGCCCGGGACGGUGUCGGGGGCGGGCUGCACGGCGAGAAGGGCAAAAUAAAACCAGCCCGAGAGGCCCUGGCUGGGGUUGAGACUGCAGGAGUAACUUCUGCACCGAGGCAGCGCGCAGCCAGUCGGGGAAGAACUCUGCAACCUGACCGAAAGAAAGUCCGACCCUCUCGGGAGGGCUGCCAGGAUGCUGGAGCGAGUGUCAGGGUCCGAGACUCCCAAGUCGGGCGAGGGCUCCUGCCCCUGGCCAUUGGGUACCCCCCUCCGACCAACACCCCCGUCCCGCUUCAGAGCGUCGGCCCCACAGACCUAGAUGGGCAAGAUACCAAAUACUUUUCUUGGAAUACAUCAUCUUGAUUGAAAACUACUAGGAUAUUUUUGAAAAAAUAGCUCAUUAGCUGGCUGGGGAGAGAAACUUUUAAUUGCCAUUGGAUGGAGAUGGACUCCUCGGCUGGAGGAGGGGAAGGCACCAUGCAUGCGUGGCAGGGAAUGCUGGCCAGCCAGCCAAGCGGGGACUUGGGCCAUGCGCCAUAGCCCCAGACCACCACACAGGAGCUGAAGAGGACAGGCUUCUCCCUGCAUAAAGAGUGAAUUCCUGGUGUCUCCACCCUGUUCUCCCAGUGUACAUACAGGCACUGUUCUAGGCAUUGAAGAUACAGAAGUAACCUAAAUGGAUAUUAACUUUUCUCAUGGUGUUCCGGUGUGGGAAGACAGACAAUAAUAAUACAAAAGAGUGAAUAUGUGUCAGAGUGUGAAGAGAGUUUUGGAGAAAAAAGACAGAGUUGGUAGAUAGUACUGGGGUUGCUAUUUUAGACAGGAUGAUCAGGAAAAAUCUCUUUAAUUUGGUGAAAAUUAAGCAAACACCAAAAUGCAAUGAGGUGGCUAUGUUGGGGAAAAUGUAAAUUACAAUUUAUAAAAUGCAUUACAAAGUGUAUUAUUUUAUUUGAGUUCUACAACAACUGUAGGAAGCUAGAUAUAUAUUAUUAUCAUUCUUAAUCUUGUGGAAACUACAGUUAAGAGAGGGCAAGGGAGUUGAAGUUACCUGCCUAGUAGAGAGGGGUGUUAUAUUUAAUCCAAGUCAAAUAUUACUAGUUCAGCAACAGGUCUUGACAAAAUUGCUUACUUUCUCUAAGCCUCAGUCACCUAAUUAUUAAGAUGGGGAUAAUAGUAAUAGUGACCCCAUAGAGUUGUGACAAUUGUAAGAUGAUCUGUAUAAAUCAAUUUAGUGUUUGGCAUAGGCGUCUGACAAGCCUUGACUCUAGAUCAGGGGUCAGCAAACUAUUGCCCUCAGGCCAUAGCCGGUCUGCUGUCUGUUUUUGUAAAACAUGCGAGCUAAGAAUGGUUUUUACAUUUUAAAUGGUUGGAAAA
This 1388-nucleotide long non-coding RNA is filed under the name Homo sapiens (human). RNAcentral's name for it is "HSALNT0351459". The record is from RNAcentral. Lineage: Eukaryota; Metazoa; Chordata; Mammalia; Primates; Hominidae.